RNAcentral lists this ribosomal RNA (305 nucleotides) under uncultured bacterium. Its description in RNAcentral is "bacterial SSU rRNA". It matches the Rfam family "Bacterial small subunit ribosomal RNA", at positions 337 to 640 of the family's 1533-position model. The record is from RNAcentral.
ACCUACGGGGGGCAGCAGUGAGGAAUAUUGGUCAAUGGGAGAGAUCCUGAACCAGCCAAGCCGCGUGAGGGAAGACGGCCCUAUGGGUUGUAAACCUCUUUUGUCGGAGAACAAAACCCGGGACGUGUCCCGGACUGCGUGUAUCCGAAGAAAAAGCAUCGGCUAACUCCGUGCCAGCAGCCGCGGUAAUACGGAGGAUGCGAGCGUUAUCCGGAUUUAUUGGGUUUAAAGGGUGCGUAGGCGGUCCGUUAAGUCAGCGGUAAAAUUGCGGGGCUCAACCCCGUCGAACCGUUGAAACUGGCAGA